GACGAACGCUGGCGGCGUGCCUAAUACAUGCCAGUAGAACGCACAGUUUAUACCGUAGCUUGCUACACCAUAGACUGUGAGUUGCGAACGGGUGAGUAACGCGUAGGUAACCUGCCUGGUAGCGGGGGAUAACUAUUGGAAACGAUAGCUAAUACCGCAUAAUAUUAAUUAUUGCAUGAUAAUUGAUUGAAAGAUGCAACUGCAUCACUACCAGAUGGACCUGCGUUGUAUUAGCUAGUAGGUGAGGUAACGGCUCACCUAGGCGACGAUACAUAGCCGACCUGAGAGGGUGAUCGGCCACACUGGGACUGAGACACGGCCCAGACUCCUACGGGAGGCAGCAGUAGGGAAUCUUCGGCAAUGGACGAAAGUCUGACCGAGCAACGCCGCGUGAGUGAAGAAGGUUGUCGGAUCGUAAAGCUCUGUUGUAAGAGAAGAACGGGUGUGAGAGUGGAAAGUUCACACUGUGACGGUACCUUACCAGAAAGGGACGGCUAACUACGUG
RNAcentral lists this ribosomal RNA (505 nucleotides) under uncultured bacterium. Its description in RNAcentral is "partial 16S ribosomal RNA". It matches the Rfam family "Bacterial small subunit ribosomal RNA", at positions 28 to 507 of the family's 1533-position model. The record is from RNAcentral.